This 357-nucleotide ribosomal RNA is filed under the name uncultured bacterium. RNAcentral describes it as "bacterial SSU rRNA". It matches the Rfam family "Bacterial small subunit ribosomal RNA", at positions 29 to 377 of the family's 1533-position model. The record is from RNAcentral.
AACGAACGCUGGCGGCGCGCCUAAUACAUGCAAGUCGAACGAGAAGCUGUAGCAAUACAGUUGUACAGUGGCGAACGGGUGAGGAAUACAUGGGUGACCUACCCUCGAGUGGGGAAUAACCAGCCGAAAGGUUGGCUAAUACCGCGUACGCUUCCCAGUCUACGGGUUGGGAAGGAAAGCGAUGCCGUGGGUAUCGCGCUCAAGGUUGGGCUCAUGUCCUAUCAGCUUGNGGUGGGGUAACGGCUCACCAAGGCAACGACGGGUAGCUGGUCUGAGAGGACGAUCAGCCACACUGGCACUGCGACACGGGCCAGACUCCUACGGGAGGCAGCAGUAAGGAAUAUUGCGCAAUGGGCG